AAAAAGUGAAACAAAAUAUGUUUGUUUUUAUGCCCCGCCAUGAAUAUGGCCGGGGCAUAUAGUGUUUGUCAUGUCCGUCUCCUGUCUUUCCGUCCUUCCGUCACACUUUGCGUUUAGCUCAGUUCAAAGCUCAGUUUCAAAGAAACUAUCCAAGAUAUUUUCAUCAAACUUCAUAGGAUGAUAGACAUUGAUGAGAGCUAUGCAACUGCAUCAACAUUUUUUGACCUUGACCUUUCCUUUGACCUUGACCUCACUUUUCUUAAGUGAGUGUAAAGCUAAGUUUUGAAGAUACCAUUCAAGACAGUAUUAUCAAACUUCAUAUGCUGAUACAUGCUGAUGAGAGCUAUUCAACUGCGUCAACAUUUUCGGCCUUGACCUUUCCUUCAACCUUGACCUCACUUUUCUUAAAUGAGUGUUUAGCUCAGUUUUAAAGAUACCAUUCAAGAUAGUGUUAUCAAACUUCAUAUGCUGAUACAUAGUGAUGAGAGCUUUUCAACUGCAUCAACAUUUUGACUUUAACCUUUCCUUUGACCUUGACCUCACUUUUCUUAAAUGAGUGUAUAGCUCAGUUUUAAAGAUACCAUUCAAGAUUGUGUUAUCAAACUUCAUAUGCUGAUACAUACUGAUGAGAGCUAUUCAACUGCAUCAACAUUUGACCUUAAUCUUUCUUUGACCUUGACCUCACUAUUCUUGAAUGAGUGUUUAGCUCAGUUUGAAAGAUACCAUACGAAAGCGUUAUCAAACUCAUAGGCUGAUACAUACUGAUGAUAGCUUUUUAACUACAUCAAUAUUUUUGACCUUAACCUUUCCUUUGACCUUGACCUCACUUUUCUUAAAUGAGUAGUUUUAAAGAUACCAUUCAAGAUAGUGUUAUCAAACUUCAUAUGCUGAUACAUACUAUUCAACUGCAUCAACAUUUGACCUUGACCUUUCCUUUGACCUUGACCUCACUUCAUAAAUUAGUGUCAAACUUCAUAUGCUGAUACAUACUGAUGUAAGCAAUUUAACUGCAUCAACAUUUUUUACCUUGACCUUUCAUUUGACCUUGACCUCACUUUUAUCAAAUUGUGAUUAAGUCAGUUUUAAAGAAACCAUUAAUAUUUUUUUCAACUUCAUAUGCUGAUACAUACUGAUGAGAGCUUUUCAACUGCAUCAACUUUUUUUUUACCUUGACCUUACCUUUGACCUUGGCCUCAAUUUUCUUAAAUUAGUGUUAAACUUCAUAUGCUGAUACAUACUGAUGUAAGCAAUUCAACUGCAUCACUAUUCAAGAUAUUCUGAAAUUUCAUACACAGAUUCAAAUUUUCAUGUUGCAUUACUGAUAUAACCUCGGCGGGGCAUUCAUGUCCUAUGGACAUAUUUCUAU
Molecule: long non-coding RNA, 1366 nt
Organism: Saccostrea cuccullata (small rock oyster)
Lineage: Eukaryota; Metazoa; Mollusca; Bivalvia; Ostreida; Ostreidae
Exons: 3
Source: RefSeq, a predicted model, not a curated record